GUAACGGCGUCCAACGGGAACUGCAGCGGACCGGCGAGUCCUGUUACAACUGUACACACAGCCCCCUGCGUUCCUCAGAACGUGACCGGCCACGCCGCGUGUGGAUCAGGAUCCCUGGUGGCGUCCUGGACUGGGGCCCUGGGGGCCAGCAGCUACACUGCUACUGUAUCAGCUUCAGGCGGGGUCCCUCAGGUCUGUGUGACGUCCAACCUGUCGUGCGUGUUCAGCGGACUGCAGUGUGCCACCCUGUACAGUCUCAGUGUAGCAUCCCAAAACGAGAUCUGCAAUAGCUCCAGCAGUCCUGCCACCACCAUCAGGACAGGUCCCUGCGACCCCCAGAAUGUAACAGCCUCUCUACAGUGCAGCAGCGGCGCUGCCACAGUGACGUGGAGCGCCAGUGAUGGUGCGAGCGGGUACACAGUGCUGGCACAAACAGACGGGGGGCAAACACUCGCA
This 456-nucleotide long non-coding RNA is filed under the name Astyanax mexicanus (Mexican tetra). RNAcentral's name for it is "lncRNA (ENSAMXG00005011843.1)". Lineage: Eukaryota; Metazoa; Chordata; Actinopteri; Characiformes; Acestrorhamphidae. The record is from RNAcentral.